This is a transfer RNA of 73 nucleotides. It matches the Rfam family "tRNA". From Rfam's summary of the family: Transfer RNA (tRNA) molecules are approximately 80 nucleotides in length. Their secondary structure includes four short double-helical elements and three loops (D, anti-codon, and T loops). The record is from Rfam.
GCCGGAUUAGCUCAGUCGGUAGAGCGCUUCCCUCGUAAAGAAGAGGUCGCUGGUUCGAUUCCAGUAUCCGGCA